Panicum virgatum (switchgrass) is the source of this 3564-nucleotide RNA transcript. It is a transcript of the gene named centromere protein V-like, with no coding region annotated. NCBI's taxonomy places the organism in Eukaryota, Viridiplantae, Streptophyta, Magnoliopsida, Poales, Poaceae. The record is from RefSeq and is a predicted model, not a curated record. The transcript has 3 exons.
GAAAAGGGGGGAAAUUCAGAUCGAGCUUCCUGUUGAAACAAAAAUAGAUCCUGUAAGAAGAAAGAAAACAAAAUCUGAGCCGGGCGGAGGCUGCCGGGUACGGAGUCAACUGCAACAGCUGAAGUUCUCUCCAGCUCGCGGAUCUUUCAUAGUUUCAUGGCCUCUGAGGAGGUCGUCGUCCACAGCGGCGGCUGCCACUGCCGGCGCGUGCGGUGGCAGGUCGAGGCCGCGGCGAGCGUGGUGGCGUGGAUCUGCAACUGCUCCGACUGCUCGAUGCGCGGGAACACCCAUUUCAUCGUCCCCGCCGCCAAGUUCAAGCUGCAGGCCGGCGCCGAGGAGUUCAUCACCACCUACACCUUCGGCACGCACACGGCCAAGCACACCUUCUGCAAGGUCUGCGGCAUCACCUCCUUCUACUCCCCGAGGUCCAACCCGGACGGCGUCGCCGUCACCGUGGCCUGCGUCGACCCCGGCACCCUGAAGCAUGUCGAGUACAGGAAGUUCGAUGGGAGGAACUGGGAGGAUUUUUUCAAGCACAGCGACAUUUCCCAGUUCUCCAAGGGGAAGGCGGAGGCGGCGGUGUAGUGGGCACGCCAGUUUGUUUUCUUCCCGUCAAGGUCAGUUUGGUUAUUGUUUUGGGUGAAUGAUUAUCAUACCAUGAUUAAAUUCCUCUUCGUCUUGGGGAAUUGCAAACUUGUGUAGUGGAAAAUGUAGUGAGAAUAAAUACGCAGUUGCUAGUUGUAGCUGGAUGUGAUAUUUGUUUUGCUCUUAGGAUUUUCCAAAAAGUAUGGUUUGAAGUGAUUUGUAGUGUCCGUGCCCAAUUCAACUGCUAGCACAACAUGACAGUAUGAGACUGCCUAAAUUAGUACUGAACUGUUCCUCACAUCUUCUGAAGUUAUUUUAGUAGCAUGGUAAGAGAUUAGCCGACUUGGUUAAAAUUCAGAAAGUAAACAUGAAGCAAAUCGAGGGUUGGAGGAAUAAUUCGCGUGAAUUGCAACUUUUUCUUAGAGUGCUUGUCAUGUAACGGUAGGCAUACGACAUCUUUUAAUUUUCAUAGCAAUAUAAACGCAAACUCAAAAGUCUCGUCAGACUAAAUGUAUGAAGUAUGAUUUUAAUUUGACUAGAGAUAAGGUAGCUUAUGGGCCAUUCAACAUUGUAAGUCUGCAACAGUCAUAUAGCAAAGAAACAAUAACAGGCAAUAUAAGGAGUCUUCAAACAAGUGGUCAUUACUUUCCAAUAUAGAAGUUGAUAACAGUAGAUGAACUCAGGAGAAGCUGUAGUAUAAAUGCAUAAUCCAUAACCGAUACAAGGAGACAUACAAGACUCUGCCAAAGAUGCGAGGUUGCCCUCUGCGGUGUAAGCUUUCAGGCACGACCACCCUGCAGUUGAAGAUCAUCCAUGGCUUUGCCAGCAAGCAGUGCCCAUGGAGUGAAUUGACGAACAGCAGACGGAGACGAAGGCCAUGAGAAAUGAGGCUUGCUCAGAUGGUGAUGAGACCGCAACAUGUAACAGAUGAUCAGCAUGGGAGAGAAUUAGUCUUUUCGUAGGCUCGCACUGGAAAGGGAUCUACCUAGCAUAUUCUUUGAGCACAAACUUAUUGGAACCCUUUAGCCCCUUUAUGGUUCUCUUCUUUAUGCUUCACUAGCAAAUGGGGAUCUAGUGCAAAGCUUUCUUAGUUUGUCACUUUCUGCAGAACCUGUUGGUGGUUGAGAAAAGGAAAUGAUAUGAUUUUGUUUAAAAGAGCUAUAUGCCCAUAUCACAUUGCUGAAAAUCAGUUCUAAAAAGGAAUAUAACUAAUACAGGGGACUAUGCAGUCAGUACCUCGUGGAAAAGAUUUGUAUAAUUGUAAAAGGAGCUAUUAAGCAAAUACUUUACCAGGAAUAUAGCAUUUGCAUGCUCAAUAACAAAAGUGAUAAUAUAGUAGGUUGAAGUUGUGCACUAAUUUGUUGCAAUCAUUUUCAUUGAUUUCCAAGAGGGACUCGCAUGACAAGAUAGUUUCAGAAAUUGGGUACAUGAAUUCCAUAGGAAUACGAUGCUGAAAAUUAGUGUGAAAAUUACAGUAAGCCAUACAAACGGUUGAGACAUCCUUUUGUGAACCUGGUCAUUUUUAGUUUUUCUUGUCAGCGCAUCAUCUCGAUUCUAAAGAAUAGCACAUCUGGAUUUCUGAUACUAUCGAACUUCCUUGUCUAUGACCAAAAAGGGUACAACCUAUAUGGACCACACAAUGUAUCAAAAAGCGGAACAUGCACUCCUGUCAAGUGGCAUUGCACAGUGCAUUCCACAAUAUGAAGUAUGAACGCUGCAGUCUGCAGUGCAGGACUGCAGGAGCCGAUGAUCUGAUGCCUUGAACCCUCUUGUGACAAAGCGUCAGUGGCAUUGCGCAUCAGUGUUCCGAUUGGUGGACAAUAAUGCAGACGCACCUUUUCUAGAACCGGCCACCGGUGAUUUAUUUGGCCAUGAACGCACCGGUGAAGCAACAGCGCUCGCGGCUAGUUCCUGAAUGGAUAAGUUUGUCAUGCUGCUGCAGGGAGGAUCUGAUCUUUGGUGUGGCAUGUGGAUCCAGAUACAGUACAGGGAGUGGUUGUCUUGGUGCGAGCAGUUGAUUUGUUGCUGCAAAUUGCAGCGAUACUGCUGUGUGCAAGCAAACGCUGUUGAAAGUGCCAGGUCAGACCACUGACUUUUGAGAAGGGUUUUCUGCAGUGGGUAGCCUAACCUACCAAUUUCCACUUUUGUGCUGUGGCAGUGAUUCAUUACAGUGAAGAACUUUAUCACGCUGCUGGCCAGCGGGAGACCCAUGGACUUUUGGGCAAAUUGGGCCUGGUUCUUGAGAGCUGGAGGCUGGAGCUGUCCCACAGUAUAGCAACCAAUUUUGCUUCAGAUUCGAUUGGUGCCAAAAUUUGGGACAGCCGACCAAAAUUUUCACCUAAGGCUCCGGCAAUUGUUAUGCCCAAGUUUCGAUGAUGACCGAAAAAUUGCGCCUAAUCUGUGGCAUAAGAGCUGCACCUAGUCCUUGCAUCUGUCUGGCUUGUAAACAAGGUAAGGGCACGCAAUGUAUCAGGCCCUAUUCGAAGAGAAUUGCUUCGGGCACGUUCUUUUCCUUCAGACAUCAAACAAUUUCUUGCCCACGUUUGCAGUUGGUCGCCGUGUCCGUGUCAAUUGGUUGGAGAGGCUUGGAGCGCAGGCGAGAGACAUUCCUUGGCCGUAGGGUUGAAAAUGGGACGGGAAAAUCCCGUCCCGACCGGCUCCGUUUACCGUUUAAACCGACCGUAAACCGUUUCCGCGAAAAAAAUGGGAAAAUAGGAAAACAAAACAGGAAAACGGGCGGGAACGGGAACGGUUAGGGUGUUUUCCCGACCGUUUUCACGGUUCCCGUUUUCAGGCGGGAAAAUUCCCGCGGGAAUUCCCGUAUUUGUCGUAGUCGGCUGUGUUACUUGUGUUGGAAACGUGAAUUGUUGUUUGCAUGUGUUCCAACGUGAAUUGUGAAUUCGUGAUUCACUUUACCUGUGUUUCUUAGUUAUACGAGUCUUGUUUCCAUGUUAUUUAUGCAUAGUUGUAAUUAUUUUA